UUAUCCUGUUUUGGUUUCAAAUCUUUAGUGGUUUUAGUGGCUCACUGAUGAUAGACAGUUUAUAUUUGAUGUUACAACAUAUAAUAUUUACAUCCUUCCCUCCUUUUAUAAAUGGUGUAUUUGAUAAAGAUACAUCAGCUGAACAAUUAUUAGAUAAACCACAUUUAUAUAAAGCAGGUCAGAAUAGCAAGUUAUAUACAAAAUGGACAUUUGGUGUUGUUUUUCUGGAUUCAUUAUAUCAAAGUAUGGUCAUUUAUUUCAUCAACCAUUAUUCAUACGCAAACUAUAGUGUUGGUAUAUGGGAGUUUGGUACUACAAUAUGUGUUUGUAUGAUAUUAAUUAUUUUACUACAGAUUGGUCUAGAAACUAAUUCAUGGGUAUGGUUACAGUGGUUAUUUUUGAUACUAAGUUUUAUGGUAUUUUGGAUGUUUGCCAUCGUUUCUAAUGCCAUCUUUUUCACGUUUGAUCCUCCUUCUAAUCCAUAUUGGGUAAUGGAGAAUACCAUAUCUCAGGCUAUACAUUCUUGUAUUGCAAUCUUUGUUUGUGUUCUAGCUUUACUGCCAAGAGUUAUAAUAAAAUCCAUCCAAUUUACCUUUUUUCCUACGGACAUUGAUGUCGUUAAACAGCAAACUCGAGAAACCAUGACAACAGAGGAAACAGAAGAAAAUGGUGGUUGUGAAGCUACAGGCCAUGAUAAUGUUACUGCACAGUCAAUGCAACCUUAUGACGCAAGCGUAGAUAAUACCGAAACAAAAGUGAAUGGAAUGAAUGGUCCAAAUAGGGAUAACACAACACGCAGAAGGGACCAAUCAGAAUCUGUUACUGCAAAGUGUUAGUGUUUACCUACAACAAGUUUACAUCAAAUUACCUCACUACAGUGGUUAGAAAGUCUUCAAAAUUCUAGUGUUCAUUUUUUGUUUUUUUAAAAUUGUAUACGUAUUAUAAAUCCAGAUUUAAGUUGAUAAAGGUUAUUACAUUCAGCAUUGAUAGUUUGAAUGUGAAAUUUAUUUUUUAAAGAAUCAGUUAUUUUUAAAGCUAUUUGAAAAAAGUAUUUAUUUGUAUAGAUAAUCAUUGAAGCACAUACUAGGCAUAAUUAUCAGAAGAUAUUGAACAUAUUGCUUUUAUUAUCUCAAAUCCUGACCCACUCAUUGGAAUAAUCAUUGAAGCACAUGUUAAAUGAAGGCUAACUAUAAUUAUAUAUUCUUUAUUAGCUAUCACACGUACGUCUGCCUUUCAUGGUUACAUACAUAAAAGUCAUGAUCUACAGAUACACAAGGACCGAGGCGUCCUCUCACUGCACGUGUGCUAUGCGAAUCUAAUUAAUAUUCAUGAGUCUGACAGCACAUACUGGGCAUAAUUAUCUAAAGAUACUGAAUUAAUUUUCUGCAUAUCUCAACGUUUCUAUUAUCUCAAAUCCUGACCAACUUAAAACCAUCGGGACAAUCCUCUUGUCUUAAUAAUAAUAAUAUGUCCAUUUAUAUAGCAACAAAUCCACAACAUCAUGCUCAUGGCACAUACAACUAUACAAAAGUUUUUUUUGUUGUCAAUUUCUGUAGUGAAUUUUAAAAAGACGAGUCUUUAAUCGAGAUUUGAAGAUUGAAAAAGAAGUCACAAAAUGGAGUUCAACUUGGAGUGACUUCCAAUUUGACUUAAAAGAUCCUGACCAAUAUAAUAUAUUCAGGUCAUGUGAUAAUUAUAUUGUGGGUGGUCUUUUGGUAAUUUAAAUCCUAUAUUUAUAGGCUGGAAUCUCGUGAAGAUUAUAUUGGACUCCGUGGAUGAUUUAGUUAAAAUCUCAAUAUGAUUAUAUUCGACUCCGGGUAUAAUUUAGUUAAAAUCUCAAUAUGAUUAUUUUUGACUCCGAAGAUGAUUUAGUUAAAAUCUCAAUGUCAUUCGUCUGUAUAUUACUUACUGGUACAAUGAAUGUUUCAAAUGAUUAAACCCUAGGUUGUAAAUAUAUUUAUAAUGUAUUUUAUAUAUACAUGUAUUUUGUAUUAACUUAUCAUUUUAAUUUAUUGUAAAUGUAUU
Molecule: long non-coding RNA, 2025 nt
Organism: Patella vulgata (common limpet)
Lineage: Eukaryota; Metazoa; Mollusca; Gastropoda; Patellidae
Exons: 5
Source: RefSeq, a predicted model, not a curated record